This 497-nucleotide ribosomal RNA is filed under the name uncultured bacterium. RNAcentral's name for it is "partial 16S ribosomal RNA". It matches the Rfam family "Bacterial small subunit ribosomal RNA", at positions 28 to 507 of the family's 1533-position model. The record is from RNAcentral.
GAUGAACGCUGGCGGCGUGCCUAAUACAUGCAAGUCGAACGAACAGACAAUGAGAUCGCUCCCUUGACGUUAGCGAGUGACGGGCGAGUAAGACAUGGAUAACCAUCUAAUAUUACUGGGAGAACUUCGUGAAGCAGGUGAUAAUAAUGGAGAAUAUAAUCAACGGCAUGAUUCAAUAGUGAUUGACAGUUUGGCUGACUUUUAUAGCUGGUGUCGCGCCGCAUUAGCUAGUUGGUAAGGUAACGGCUAACCAAGGCAACGAUGCGUAGCCGACCUGAGAGGUUGAUCGGCCACACUGGAACUGAGACACGGUCCAGACUCCUACGGGAGGCAGCAGUGGGGAAUCUUGGGCAAUGGGCGAAAGCCUGACGGAGCAACGCCGCGUGGGUGAUGAAGGUCUUCGGAUCGUAAAACCCUGUUGUUGGGGAAGAACAGCUGUGUAUGUAACUAUGCACGUUUUGACGGUACCUAAUCAGAAAGCCACGGCUAACUACGUG